RNAcentral lists this ribosomal RNA (440 nucleotides) under uncultured Anaerolineaceae bacterium. RNAcentral's name for it is "bacterial SSU rRNA". It matches the Rfam family "Bacterial small subunit ribosomal RNA", at positions 929 to 1382 of the family's 1533-position model. The record is from RNAcentral. Lineage: Bacteria; Bacillati; Chloroflexota; Anaerolineae; Anaerolineales; Anaerolineaceae.
GCGGUGGAGCAUGUGGUUAAUUCGAAGCAACGCGAAGAACCUACCAGGUCUUGACAUGCAGAGAACUUUCCAGAGAUGGAUUGGUGCCGUUCGGGAACUCUGACACAGGUGCUGCAUGGCUGUCGUCAGCUCGUGCCGUGAGGUGUUAGGUUAAGUCCUGUAACGAGCGCAACCCCUGCCGUUAGUUACAUGUGUCUAACGGGACUGCCCGGCUCAACGUGGGAGGAAGGUGGGGACGACGUCAAGUCAGCAUGGCCUUUAUAUCCUGGGCUACACACACGCUACAAUGGUCGGUACAAUGGGUCGCCAAGCCGCGAGGCGGAGCCAAUCCUCCAAAACCGGCCUCAGUUCAGAUUGUAGGCUGCAACUCGCCUGCAUGAAGUUGGAGUUGCUAGUAACCGCGCGUCAGCUAUAGUGCGGUGAAUACGUUCCCGGGGCUU